RNAcentral lists this non-coding RNA (200 nucleotides) under Barnesiella viscericola. The record is from RNAcentral. Lineage: Bacteria; Pseudomonadati; Bacteroidota; Bacteroidia; Bacteroidales; Barnesiellaceae.
UACCUUUGUGCCUGCAUUGGUUUUGAAACCCCGUCCGGGGCGUAGAAUGAAAAGGGAAUCGGGUGAGAAUCCCGAACAGUCCCGCUGCUGUAAGCUCCUGUACAGGUGCCGAGAAUACUUGAAAGCCACUGAUUAUGACGAUUGGGAAGGCCUCGGUUACCGGAGUAAGUCAGAAGACCUGCCAUGCGUUGUGUCAUUAG